RNAcentral lists this ribosomal RNA (425 nucleotides) under uncultured bacterium. RNAcentral describes it as "partial 16S ribosomal RNA". It matches the Rfam family "Bacterial small subunit ribosomal RNA", at positions 354 to 796 of the family's 1533-position model. The record is from RNAcentral.
GUGGGGAAUCUUGCGCAAUGGGCGAAAGCCUGACGCAGCCAUGCCGCGUGCGUGAUGAAGGCCCUAGGGUUGUAAAGCUCUUUCAGUGGGGACGAUAAUGACGGUACCCACAGAAGAAGCCCCGGCUAACUUCGUGCCAGCAGCCGCGGUAAUACGAAGGGGGCUAGCGUUGCUCGGAAUUACUGGGCGUAAAGGGCGCGUAGGCGGACAGCUUAUUCAGAGGUGAAAGCCCAGGGCUCAACCUUGGGAUUGCCAUUGGGACUGGCUUUCUUGAGUUUGGGAGAGGUAAGUGGAACUCCGAGUGUAGAGGUGAAAUGCGUAGAUAUUCGGAAGAACACCAGUGGCGAAGGCGACUCACUGGCCCGAUACUGACGCUGAGGCGCGAAAGCGUGGGGAGCAAACAGGAUUAGAAACCCGGGUAGUCC